Long non-coding RNA from Pezoporus flaviventris, 606 nucleotides. RefSeq lists it as uncharacterized. NCBI's taxonomy places the organism in Eukaryota, Metazoa, Chordata, Aves, Psittaciformes, Psittacidae. The transcript is spliced from 2 exons. The record is from RefSeq and is a predicted model, not a curated record.
GGGGAAAAAAAAAAGGCUAUAACCCAGCUCUCUACAGCAGUGCACUGAAUAGUGAUGUGUGAUGUGAAGCAAGGUGAGGGGAAUCAUGUUCACUUCACCACAGACACUAGAGCUUACAGUCAAGGGACAGUUUGCUGAUGUGUGGUAAUGCAGCAGCCAGCUGAAUCUGAGGCAAAAGGACUGGCUAAUGUGGUGAUGCCUGAGCCACCUCCAGAGAGGGCAAAACACAGUGCAGAUGGUGCAGAUGGUGAAAAAUGUAAUAGUAGAGGUGCUUAGGUACCAUGAAAAUGCAAAAAGAGGCAAAUAGUAUCCGGUCAGACAGAUGGCAUAUUUAAAAGUGAGGGGAGACAGAUGCUGAAGAAGCACUUGUUUUCUUCCUUCCUCUGUGUGAAAUGGUAUAUCAAAAUCUACCUCUCAUUUCUACUUCCUUGUUUUUCAACUUCUCACCAUCCUCAGAAUACUUUAAAUUACGAGAGCUGAGAAGGUAUAGUCUUUCAUAUAUGAUUCCUGUGUUUUGGGAAAUAGAAUAUUGACAGUUACCAGUACACGCCUUUGUCACUAUCACCAACUAAGAAUAAUUUAGCCCUUUUGUUCCUUCAGAUCAAU